Long non-coding RNA from Amphiprion ocellaris (clown anemonefish), 7708 nucleotides. RefSeq lists it as uncharacterized. NCBI's taxonomy places the organism in Eukaryota, Metazoa, Chordata, Actinopteri, Pomacentridae. The transcript is spliced from 2 exons. The record is from RefSeq and is a predicted model, not a curated record.
CGCACCUCGUGUGUGGCGUUGUUUUUCUCCAUAGCUGCACAGUUGUUCGCUAGUUCUCUCCUGUGCACGUCUGAACUGGAUGCAUGUUGCAUUUUUUCUUCUUUAACCUGCUGUGUGUAAAUGAUGAAGAACCACAGCCAGCCACAGUUAUCCACAAGUAGCUACAGUUGUCUACAGUGCAGCACAGAGUUAUCUGCAACAACAAUAAACAUCAUUAACCUGGAAAGUCUGGCUGCCGUGUUCUUUAACGGGGACACCUUCAUACCUUGUGCCACUCUGAAAAUACCUACCUGGAGAACCCUCACUCCUUUUUACCCAGAUAAUUUCAUGUAUUGCAUAAAAACUCACACUUUUAUUCAUGUGCUAACCAAUGUUCCCUGUAAUUUUUCCUGAGUCUGAGCAAACACACAAACUCCCUGAGCGUCCCUUGGACCACUGUGAGCAACAUCAGACGUGUGCACUGUGGUCACACCAGCAUCACAUCCAUUCAAGUUACAUGGUUCAUUAAAAGAAUCAAAUUACAGCAUUUACAUUUCUGUUAAAACACUUUGUCAACAGGAGCCAGUUGAAGGCUGCAGUGAUUUUAGUGACACUACAAUGUAUAAGAGUGAAGUUAUUGAAUAUUUGUCUCUCUUUACUGUUGCAGCGGUUUUGCAAAUUGCAGACGGACCCUGUUCACUCCAUAGACACCAAUGUUAUUCCUGUAGCUUGAAAGACAGCUACUUUUGAUAAAACUGGGCUUGUAGCACAUUGUCUGCCUUGCAACAAUGGGAAAGAGGCACCGUUUAUGUUUUGACAGCCUAUAUCUAAUGAGUUAUUGAUGCUGGAAGCCUGAAUCUGUGAAUAUCUUUCCAACUUUACUGAACUUGGGGCCACUACCACCUAAGGAGUGAUAUGUUUAAUUUUGAAAAAAGCAUUUAGCCAUACUUAAAGCUUUAAGUGCUUUAUUAACACGGAACUAAACAUUUUGUAUUGUUUUAUUAUCACAGGUUCUGUCUGAAAAGAGGUGGCAUCAUUUUAAACAGUGAAAUCAAACUAACAAAAUGUAAUGACCAACCAGUGAGCAAUACUGGAUUCUGCAAAAACAUAAACAACUUUUUAAAAUCUAAAUCUUAUCUUAACACAGUUAAUGUAUUAACUUAUUUAUGUGUGUAUGCAUGUAUUUAUUGAUUUUUUUAGUACUGUUAACAUAUCAGAGUUCUGAGUGAUUUUUUCUUAAGAUAGGCAAAGGCCAUUUAUUGAUUACAUAGAGGCUCUUAAAUGUUUAUUAAAAACUAAAAAGCAUUUAAAAAAACAACAUAGGCAUUUAUUGAGUCACUAAAAUAGUGUAGAGUACAGACCACAUCAGCAUGAUUAUAAGCAUCCUCUGGUAAAUGAACAACCAGAUACUGAUGUCUCUCACCAUAUGGACUUCAGGAGAUGAUUAGAUGAUGAUAAACUGUGACCUACUGGUUGGGUUCUCUCUGUUCUCAUGUUUCUUACAUGUUUGUCCCCUGACAGCCGGAUCCUAAUGUUUUUUGAGCAACACACCAUACUAUGACGUUUUUACAAUGAUGGUUCUACUAUGGAACCAGUUUGACAUGUUCAGGUGUUCUUUGUGUGAAAACUCAGAGAUUUCAGGUAUCAGAAGGUGGUUUUCAACUUUCUUUGGUAACUUUCUGCUUCAACUUUAAACUAAAUUUCCUUCACUAACCCAGCCCUCUGGACUUCCAGUAAGCUGUGUUCCUAUUGGCUGUCCAGGUGGCUGCUUGGUGUUAUCAGGAACACCUGAGCAGCUCAGUGUUAUCAGGAACACCUGAGCAGCUCAGUGUCUUCCUGCUUUAUUUAGCUGCAGACAAACAUUUCCUCUGCUUCUCACCAGUGAACUGGGUUUGGUUCCGUUGCUUUAGUUUCUUCUUUAGGCGUUGGCUUGCAGCUUCCAGCAGUAAAAUCAUCUUUAAUGUGUUUCUUGGUGUGUUUUAGGGCUUUGUACUGAAUAGUUGUCUUGGUAAAUGUGGUUCUUUAGCCACAGUUAGCACAUGGUGCUGAUGUGUGCAGUGAUUAGUGGAUUUGGUCCAGCUGAGUUGUAUCUUUAUCUUGGCUGUAGUGAGUCUUCAGAGGUUUUUGGUCAGACACAUUCUGUAUUCUUGUUUGUGAAGCAACGUUGGUUGUCCAGAAGGUAAGAGUUCCUGUCCUGAUUCUCUGUUCUCAGAGGUUCUCUGGUAGGCUGCAGGAGACUUUAGCGUCUGGGUUGUGCUAGUUUGGUUUUUGUAUGGUUUCAUUUGGACGACUAUCUUGAGGCCCCUCCAUGUGGUUUAGUGAGGUUUUCUGGAACAGUUCUACAAAGCAACCUGCAGCAGAAGAGACUUUGAGAGUUUUUAUGAAGUUCUGGAGACCAGACUUUAGAGCAGCAGAAACAUUUGUCAGCAGUUUGAGCAGGAGAAGGUGAGCUUCAGAGUAGAAAUGAGACAGAAACCUUCUUGACCCGUGUGGUGAGGUCCUGUACCAAGAGUUUGAGCAGGUUGUGAAGAGUCUGUAGUUCUUUGGUCUGAAAGCACAAGAAGAGUCGACUCAUUAAAGGAGAAAACAGGAGAUAUUGUUGGUUCUUCUGUCACUCUGCAGUUUCCAGUUUCCUUUGACUGAAUAUCAAGUUUAUAUGUUAAAUGAUUUACAUUGUGAGCCCAAGAAGACUUCAAUAAACUCCCUCCAUCCCCUGGACACAACAUAUUUUAUUAAUUCAAUUCAAUUUUAUUUAUAUAGCGCCAAUUACAGUCAGAUUGUCUUGAGACGCUUUACAGAACCCAUAUGCCUGACCCCCAGAGCAAGCCAAAAGGUGACAGUGGCAAGGAAAACACCCUUUUAACAGGGAAAAAAACCUCGAGCAGAACCCGGCUCUAAUGUGGGGGGACCCAUCUGCUGCUGGCCGGAUGGGUUGAGAGGGACAGAAGAGAUAGAGAGGUGGGGGGGGACACAAGGACCAUAAAACAUACAGUAUAAUACGUGCAUGAUAAGACAGAUGAUACAUGCAAAGUACAACUAACAUGGAAACUAAUUAUAGUUUACUGCUAUGGUGUACAGCUCUGGCAUUAAAUAUACUACAUAUAUAGCUGGUGGUAAAUUCAAAAAUAUGUAGAUGAGCAAUGUUUAACUAUUAAACAGACAAAAUAUAGAAUUAGAUAAUUCAACAAGAUACAAUACAUGUCACUAUGAAAUUAAACAAAAUUUUUAAAAUACAAAUAUUAAAAAUUUCAGAUAAAAUAUUAUCCAUAAUUAAACAUUUAAAAAUACAAUUACACAAGAAGAAUAUUAAACAUUUUAAAAAAUGCAAAACAUUUAAUUAGAUUAUUAAACCUUUAAAAAGACAAAACAUUUAAUUAAAAAAUUAAACGUUUAAUUAGAAAAUUACAUCUUAAAGACAAUAAAACUUCAAAUAGGAAUUAAACAGAAAAUACAGUGAAGCAUUUAAAAAGAAAAUUAAACAUAAAAAGGUGGUAAAACAUUUAAAAAGAAAAACCUUAACAAAGAUUUAAUCAAAAAAUUAAACAUUAGGAAAGAAAAGGAAAUUUUUCAAACAAGCCGAUAAAACAUUUGAAAAAAACAACAAUUAAACAUUAAAAAGAUAAAACAUUUCGAAAUCAGAUCAGACAUUAGAACAGAAUAAAAGGUGAGAAAAGAGCAAAACUAAACAUUUAAGAAGAAUCAAACUAAAGAUAAAACCUUUGAAAGGGCACCAGUUAAACUUUAGAAGAUCAAAUUAAACAGAAGAAACAAUAAAAUGAUCAAAAGAGCAAAAACAGAUAAAGUGUUUUCUAGUCUGAAAUGAAAACAAGUUGUUUCUUCAAACAUUUCCUCUUUCUAUGUUCUUGGUUUGAUUGUGGACAGAUUUACUAAGAACUCAUUUAAGAAAACUGAUUUCCAGAUAAAGUCUACUAGUAGUUGAAGGCAUUAAUCAAACUAAUGUUACCUUCUGAUCUCCACAAACUUUACUGUUCAGUGAAGAGAAUCAAAGUUUGUUGAGGAUUUCUAAAAAACCCACAUGUGAAGGUCUGAGAAAAACUGAGAGGGAUGAUCUUAAUGUGAAAUCAAGACUCAUGGUCACAAGUUUUAAGGCUUCUGUUCACCAGAAAGUUCAAACUAACAGAGAAGUACUGAGAAACUUCUAAAAUUUCAGUCCUCAGACUGUCUGAAGGUUCAAACUAACAGAGAACUACUCAGGAACUUAGAAGAUAUCAGUCCUCAGACUGUCUGAAGGUUCAAACUAACAGAGAACUACUCAGGAACUUAGAAGAUAUCAGUCCUCGGACUGUCUGAAGGUUCAAACUAACAGAGAACUACUGUGGGACUUAGAAAAUUUCAGCCCUCAGACUGUCUGAAGGUUCAAACUAGCAGAGAACUACUGUGGGACUCAGAAAAUUUCAGCCCUCAGACUGUGUGAAAGCUCAGGUCCUGAGGACUCGGGAGGUCUGGAGGCUUGGAAAGUCUUGGAACUGAGGGUUCCACCCUCCAGCACAAAGGCUGAAGUCCAACCUCCUGAGAAAAACGGUCGAGAAAAGAGAAAGUAAAAAAAAAAACUCGAAAACGACAAAAAAUAGAUGAUAAAUGCGCAAAAAAAAGAAGAAUUAGUAUCUGAGCGAGUAGCUCAGGAGGAUAAGAAGAGGACUACCAAGCGGAGGGUCGCAGGUUCAAGACCUGCCAGUGGCAGUUUUCUUUCUUUGUCUUUGUCACACUUUUGAGAAAAUUUAAGAAGUGUCUGGUCUUGAACCAGCGACCUGCAGCUCCAUAGGCAAAUCCUUAACUCACUGAGCUACAGAUCAGAUACAAAGAAAUAAAUUCGUCGUCCCUUUGACAUCGUAGUUGGUGAAGUGACCACAUGGGUGGAGCCAAGGCGGAGUCUGGGUGGAGUCAGGGCGGAGAGUAGGCGGGGAGGUGGGUGGCGGCCUCCCCCCUCUACUCCCCCACUUCCCCCCAACCGCCCACCACACCUUCCCCCGCCCGACGAGUUCUUCGAGUCUCCACGAGUUCCUCGAGUCUCGACAGGUUUUCCCCAGUUUCUGGAGUUUCCACCAGGUCGGAGGCAGAACAAGUUAUGAAGAGGUGUUGAAGUCGGCCAGGAUGGACUGACUUUUUACAGCGACUAGAAGGAAGACGACUAGAAGAGCAGGUCUUUAACCACCAUCCAUAAAAUCCAUGGAGUUGAUUCCAGAGAAAUGAAGGGAGGUCAACUUUUAUCAACCUCCACCCAGAUGUUCAACUUCAUAUCUUUACUUGUACAUUUUUAGCACCACAAACCUUUAGUAUCACACUUUAUUAUCCUUUAUUAGGACUUUCAUGGAAUCCACCAGCAGAUUUACUUUUUGUUGACAAACUUUAUUCUUGUCAUCAUGGGACUGCAGUAUUUAAAACUCUUCCUUCUAUUUGACCUCAUGUUUAUUUUAUUGGAGAAAGUUAUUUUAGUUGUCGAUUAGUUUCUUAAAAACCAAGUAAUAAAUUGGAUUAGUCAAGAGGUUUAAAUUUCUUACUUUGUCAUAUUUUAAAUAUGACAAAAAAAUACAAAAAUAAAGCGUCUUGAGACAAUUUGACCUGUAUUUGGUGUUAUAUAAAUAAAAUUGAAUUCAAAUUGUAUGUAUCUUGUAAUGUUGGAGUAAUUCAGCCAUAUAUGUUGGAAAACACAUUUUCUUUGUCCAUUAAUCUGUUGAUUGUUUUCUCCACUAAUUCAUUUCUUGUUUUGGUUUAUAAAAUAUCAAACCCAAAUAUAUUCAGUUUACUGUCAUAAAAACCAAAAAGAUUUACAUUCAUGAUGCAGGAAUCAGGCAGUUUUUCACUUUUUAUGUUAGUUUAGUCAGAAAGAUAGUUGAUAAUGUGUGAAUUGUUGCAGCUUGUGAGCCGUAAAAGGUUUUAAUCUUUGGGGCCGAGUGUCAAAAAACAUUUAGAAACCAACAUCAACAAAAUACUCAACAAAGAUUUGAACAUCAUUAAAGGGAAAUCCAACUUUUGCAUGACAAUGUCUAAUUAAAGGACAUUUAUUUCCAACGUAAAUGUGUGAUAUUCAUCCUCUGGAGCUUUCUCUUCACAUCGUCUUCCACCUGGACUGGUUUGGUCAGGAGCAUGUGCAACAAACAUUUGAAAAACUGCACUUUAACAUCAAUGAAUGACACUGAAGUUUAAUCUCUACAUAAAUGAGACUGAGUCUGGAUGUGCUGCUCUGUCAUUAACUCCUAAGUUUAGGGAAAGUUCAAACAAAAGAGGACAGUUCAGAUAAGACUUGAGAAUGAGCUUAUUUUGAACAAACAUCUCAGACUUUCUGAGCUUCAGCACCUCUAGCAAGAUAUUUUAACAACAAGCAACUCAACAGAUCCAGAAGUUGGAGAGUUAGCUUUAGCUGAGCCAAAGAACAUGUGGGACGCUAACCUAGCAAACAUUUCAGACUUUUCUCUGUGAAUUCUGAGAAAUAAUUUCCUAUUUAAUGACAGAGCUACACAUCUUAACUCAGUCUCAUUAAUACAGACUCUAAUUCAGUGUCAUCCAUCCAUAUUAAAGUGCAGUUACCCAAAAUGUUUGUUGCAUGAGCUCCAACAAAACCUGUCCAGGUAGAAGGCCACUUUGACAAACAGGAAGUGGAAGAUUCCAAGCAGAUUUAUAGAAGGGUGAACCAGACUGUACUAAGUGUGGUCGAGUAUAGAGGGGUGUUUUGUGGUUUUUUAAGGCUGAUAAUGAUUAUUACUGAGACAUUUGGAGUAGAUAUUCAUUUGCAGUAAAUGAAAGUAUUUAAAAUCUUGGAGUUAAAUUACAAGAACACAAACUCUAACAGGAAACUUUGUUGAUACGUUUUUGUUUUGUUUACAGAUGUUAAGUUAAAGGAGUUUUAUUCGUGACGUAUAACCAAUCAAAUCACUCCAGAAGACAGAGCGACCACAGGUAGAUAAAGGCUCAGAGCCAAAGUAGCGCCUUUUUUAAAUGUAUUUAUUACCGUAAAUCAGUAAAAAAUAAAAUACUGAUAAUCAGUAAAUCAGUCAGCCCACAAUUACUACAAUUCUACAAUGUAUGUCUCUUUCCUUUGACUUGUUAUUUGUACAAUAUACGAUGUAUAUGAUGGUGUUUUUUCAUACCAAAGGCUAUACUAUGAUGUUUUCUAAGAGACAUACGAUGCUACUCUGGUUGUUCUGGCCCUGCACUCCUCCUCUGUUGUUUUCUGGAUUGUACUCAGCUGCAUGCCUUCGUCCACCCGGCCUCCGUUGACUCGUCCUGCCUGCCGUCUCUGGAGCUGAAGCUGGAUUGGAACAGACUAAAGUACAGUCCAAUCACGAUGCCAGCUGCCUCUCAAAAGGCUCCUUCAUCUGGCAGGUGGCAGCACUUCUUCUGAGGGGAAGCUGAGCUGGCCCGGCAGAACUUUGGAGAUGUGUUCCAGUGGUUGGUGGAUGUGUGGGGAGAUAGAGAGGGACCUUUGAAUUGUUCAGAAAGGAAAACAGAGAACCCAUUGGUAGUUUUAGUUUAGGGUGCUACUGCGGUGUGUUUUUGGGUUUUAAGAGGUGAACAGGAAGAGUUUUUUUCGUAUUGAUUAUCUUUUACUUUGUUCCUGGUUGGAAUGCCCAUCAAUGUCAACGUGAAGUUCACUUUUAGUUCAGUUUAUUUAUUUUUGUUUUACUAACACCCAUUUGUUUUUAACCCCCUCACAUGUUGUGUUGUUGCAAACUUCCUCUUUCAAAUAAAUACUCAUUUAACCCUCUGGAAA